This 293-nucleotide small RNA is filed under the name human gut metagenome. Its description in RNAcentral is "5' ureB small RNA". It matches the Rfam family "5' ureB small RNA". The record is from RNAcentral.
GUCUCGAUCUGCUGAGGGCAGAUAUAAUGCACAUGUGUAUCGAUAGCACCAGCAGUAACGAUCAGGCCUUCAGCAGAAAGAACUUCAGUACCUGUUCCGAUAACAAGUUUAGGAUCUACACCAUCCUGAGUAUCGGGAUUACCGGCUUUACCAAUUCCAACGAUCUUACCAUCUUUAAUACCUAUAUCAGCCUUUACGAUACCUGUAUAAUCGAUGAUGAUAGCAUUGGUAAGGCAGAAAUCCAAAGCACCGGCCUUGUUGGUCAUACCGACCUUCUGGCCCAUACCAUCACG